Cavia porcellus (domestic guinea pig) is the source of this 107-nucleotide small nuclear RNA. The record is from Rfam. NCBI's taxonomy places the organism in Eukaryota, Metazoa, Chordata, Mammalia, Rodentia, Caviidae.
UUGUUUUGGCAGCAUAUAUACUAAAGCUGGAAGGAUACAGAGAGGAUUAGCAUGGCCCCUGCACAAGGAUGACAGAAUACUUUUGGGAGUAGAGAGAGCAUUUAUUU